UGUUCAUGUAUAUUGCUAUUGACCUAUUUACACGCUCAUGAUUGUAGUACACCGCCUAAGUAACUAUUUUUACGCGCAUAGCUGUGUUGUUGUUUUGCUCGUGUCCAGAACAUAACUGUAAUGUUCUCACACUCAUGGCCAGACCCGCAGCUGCACACGCACACAGCGAUGCGUUCCGUUGUUUGCAUUGAGACCGUCGCGUCGAGUCGUAUCGCGUGAUCUUCCAAUUCCCUUUUGCUCGACUUCUUUUCGCGGAGUUGAGUUAGUAGAAACUUCUAGACGAAACCGCCCGCACGCAUAUUUUCUACCGCCGCAGAAACGACCCCCCCGCUGUUCUUGUAAUAUAAUUGUACUAUAACCACCAAUAUUAACUAAUCAAAAAAAAUAAAUAAGCUCAAGAUAUAAAGGAUUAUACAGUCCACUAAUUCAAAAACAGGCAUAGAUACCCUACAUAUAGAAAAAACAGAGAAGAAAAAUGGUCACACUAUGAAAAGACAAGAAGGUCACAUUAGUUUGAGCAGUCGAUAAAAGAGCGGGGAGAAAAGACGAAGCGAAAUAAAACGCAACCAACGCCUAAGUACCGAUUAAGAUAAGCGAUUGUGUUUUAUCCGCAAUUCUCACGUUUCUGGACACAAUAUCUUUUAUUUCGCUCCUUGGAAGCCAAUGACCCUAGAGUUCUUAGAGUUUGUGUGAAGACGGGUGGAGACUCGUGGUGCAAGCACUGAAGUAUACUGGACAUUGGAGAAGCGACCGAACCCACAAGGAGACGGUCAUCUCGCUCGUGGGUGGACAAUAAACAUUGAAGAACACGAAGGCCAACGUGGGUGCGCACGUCAGGCAGCUGAAAAAGCGCACAUUUAUAUGUAUGUACAUAUGCGAGAUAUUGCAAAUACUGCCAUCUCGCUCUAUCCAACGAAGUUCUUACGGGCCAGCAACUAGAGGCUUGGGUGCGCAGUUGGCUGAUGAAAUCGAGUGAAAAUUUCUGGAUUCUGGUUUAUUUGGUAAGUGCCAAUUUGAUUGUUGAUUUGGGAAAAGGUACAUCUGCGGGUGAUGAUUACCAGAGCAAUGAGCAACGGAUGAAAUGGACGAGGAAACGUUUGAGAUGGGAAAAGUGGAAGGAGAAUCCGCGCAAGGUGAAGUCUCAAAUAUGGAGAGGGCCUGGGCCGGCACAUCAAAAGAAGCCCAAUGUGGCGCCAAAUGCAAGAAGUGGAAGGACAACUGGCGGACCAGGACCACAAUCAACUACGGCUGAGCCCUCAGUGACAUCGGACGCAGUCUCAUCACCAAGGCAACCGGUUCCUUCUUAGGAAACGCAAAGAAAAAUGUACGAUCUACCGGAGUUUAAUGGUGCUACCGAAGAGUGGCCAAUGUUCAACGAAGCUUUCACUAUGACCACUGCAAAGUACGGAUACAGUGACAUGCUAAAUUUUUUACGCCUCCAAAAGGCAAUAAAGGGCAAGGCUAGGGAAACCGUUGAAUGUUUGCUUAUUCACAGUUCUAACGAUUCAAAUAUUUUAGAUACCCUUAAACAAAAUUUUGGUAGACCGGAGAAACUCGUAAAAAGCCAGAUUAGUCGCGUUAGAGAAUUUCCGAGCAUUCGCGAAGGGAGAUUGGAACAAUUAGUAGAGUUCGAAAUGAAGGUACAAAACUUGGCUUCAUUCUUAGAAACAAAUCACAUAAAGUAGAUAAGUAAUGACAGUUCGGGUGUAAACAAAGAUAUGUAGCCCAUCAAAAGAUACUAGAACAAAACUCAAGUGGGGAAAACACUUAACCAAUGCAUUCUUAAAAUAACACUACAUUAGUGCAAGCAUUCACUCAAAAAGACACCCGCAGUAAAAUGUAUCCUUUGCGUAGGUCUAACGAUAAUUAUAGAAUACAAAAUUGUACCUCCUACCUCAUUGUCAAAUCACAUAUAAGGC
Long non-coding RNA from Drosophila miranda, 1919 nucleotides. RefSeq lists it as uncharacterized. The transcript is spliced from 3 exons. Lineage: Eukaryota; Metazoa; Arthropoda; Insecta; Diptera; Drosophilidae. The record is from RefSeq and is a predicted model, not a curated record.